GAAUGCUGACAUAAGUAACGAUAAAGCGGGUGAAAAGCCCGCUCGCCGGAAGACCAAGGGUUCCUGUCCAACGUUAAUCGGGGCAGGGUGAGUCGACCCCUAAGGCGAGGCCGAAAGGCGUAGUCGAUGGGAAACGGGUUAAUAUUCCCGUACUUGGUGUUACUGCGAAGGGGGGACGGAGAAGGCUAUGUUGGCCGGGCGACGGUUGUCCCGGUUUAAGCGUGUAGGUGUGUGUUCCAGGUAAAUCCGGUUCACUUUAACACUGAGGCGUGACGACGAGGCACUACGGUGCUGAAGCAACAAAUGCCCUGCUUCCAGGAAAAGCCUCUAAGCAUCAGGUAACAUCAAAUCGUACCCCAAACCGACACAGGUGGUCAGGUAGAGAAUACCAAGGCGCUUGAGAGAACUCGGGUGAAGGAACUAGGCAAAAUGGUGCCGUAACUUCGGGAGAAGGCACGCUGACACGUAGGUGAAGUGAUUUACUCAUGGAGCUGAAGUCAGUCGAAGAUACCAGCUGGCUGCAACUGUUUAUUAAAAACACAGCACUGUGCAAACACGAAAGUGGACGUAUACGGUGUGACGCCUGCCCGGUGCCGGAAGGUUAAUUGAUGGGGUCAGCGCAAGCGAAGCUCCUGAUCGAAGCCCCGGUAAACGGCGGCCGUAACUAUAACGGUCCUAAGGUAGCGAAAUUCCUUGUCGGGUAAGUUCCGACCUGCACGAAUGGCGUAAUGAUGGCCAGGCUGUCUCCACCCGAGACUCAGUGAAAUUGAACUCGCUGUGAAGAUGCAGUGUACCCGCGGCAAGACGGAAAGACCCCGUGAACCUUUACUAUAGCUUGACACUGAACAUUGAGCCUUGAUGUGUAGGAUAGGUGGGAGGCUUUGAAGUGUGGACGCCAGUCUGCAUGGAGCCGACCUUGAAAUACCACCCUUUAAUGUUUGAUGUUCUAACGUGGACCCGUGAUCCGGGUUGCGGACAGUGUCUGGUGGGUAGUUUGACUGGGGCGGUCUCCUCCUAAAGAGUAACGGAGGAGCACGAAGGUUGGCUAAUCCUGGUCGGACAUCAGGAGGUUAGUGCAAUGGCAUAAGCCAGCUUGACUGCGAGCGUGACGGCGCGAGCAGGUGCGAAAGCAGGUCAUAGUG
RNAcentral lists this ribosomal RNA (1142 nucleotides) under Salmonella enterica. RNAcentral describes it as "partial 23S ribosomal RNA". It matches the Rfam family "Bacterial large subunit ribosomal RNA", at positions 1292 to 2417 of the family's 2925-position model. The record is from RNAcentral. Lineage: Bacteria; Pseudomonadati; Pseudomonadota; Gammaproteobacteria; Enterobacterales; Enterobacteriaceae.